UACGGAGGGGGCUAGCGUUAUUCGGAAUUACUGGGCGUAAAGGGCUUGUAGGUGGCCAACUAAGUCACACGUGAAAUCCCCAGGCUUAACCUGGGAACUGCGUGUGAUACUGGAUGGCUUGAAUCCGGGAGAGGGAUGCGGAAUUCCAGGUGUAGCGGUGAAAUGCGUAGAUAUCUGGAGGAACACCGGUGGCGAAGGCGGCAUCCUGGACCGGUAUUGACACUGAAAAGCGAAAGCCAGGGGAGCAAACGGG
RNAcentral lists this ribosomal RNA (253 nucleotides) under uncultured bacterium. RNAcentral's name for it is "partial 16S ribosomal RNA". It matches the Rfam family "Bacterial small subunit ribosomal RNA", at positions 524 to 776 of the family's 1533-position model. The record is from RNAcentral.